AUGUUGGUGCAGUUGUUGUUGAUAGAGUGGUGGAUGUUGGUGCAGGUGUUGCUGAGGUUGGUGCAGUUGUUGAUAUUGUGGUAGAUGUUGGUGCAGUUGAUGUUGGGGUU
Cyprinus carpio (common carp) is the source of this 110-nucleotide long non-coding RNA. RefSeq lists it as uncharacterized. The record is from RefSeq and is a predicted model, not a curated record. The transcript has 3 exons. NCBI's taxonomy places the organism in Eukaryota, Metazoa, Chordata, Actinopteri, Cypriniformes, Cyprinidae.